Molecule: long non-coding RNA, 1411 nt
Organism: Cyanistes caeruleus (blue tit)
Lineage: Eukaryota; Metazoa; Chordata; Aves; Passeriformes; Paridae
Source: RefSeq, a predicted model, not a curated record
UACUUAAGCAUUAGUAAAUGGCACUAUUGUAGCACAGACUUAGAUCACCUGAACCCAACAAUGAAGUGCACAGCUGAGGAAAAACAAUGCAUGAGGCUCUGCUAAAGAUCAAUUGAUUUAGAAGUCACAGGAAUUAGUGGCAGAUUAAACACUUAUGCUGUAUUAGCAAAUAUUAUUUGGAUCUACAGCUGAAGCUCAGGUAACUAAUUAAUUAUGCUUGCAAAGCAAUAAAAUCUAGCUCCUUGUCCCUCCAAUUACAUGUACUAUAUAAAACUAGUUAUGAAAGUAGAAGUACAUAAAACUACUUGAAAAGGAGGGUGAACUGCCUGCUGUCACUACACAACGAGCUUUCCUGACCAACAUUUUACAAAACCUGCAAGUUACUGUACCUGAUCACAGAGCAUCAUCCAAAAAUCUGAAACACAUAAAAGCAUCAUUCUUCCUUUCCUAUGCUGUUCAGCACCUGAAAUCCAUGUAACCCAUGCUUUCAGGUAACAGUUAUCCCAAAGUUUAGUCUUGAAACAGAAGCAAGAGAGAUCACCUCAGAGAAGUCCAUGUUAUGUCCUCAAGUGAGACUGCAGCUUCAAAGCAAAGCAAGCAAUGAAAGUGCAUACCUCAGUAGCACCCAGUCAUCAGGAUCAGGCUCCUCUGGAGCACUGUAUACCAGCGUGCCAUGCUUGGACAGGAAUGAAUUGUUCAGGAAGAAAAUGCUAUUUGAAAAACUUCAGUGCUUACCACUCUACAACUAGAUGAAGACUUAAUAGACUGAUCUUCUUCCACCUGGUCUCUAUAUGAACUGCUAAGGAGGCUCUUUUGCUUGCAUUUCCCUCAAACCCAGGUCUUGCUUCCCAGUGCCAUGGACAGCAACACCAACUGCACCUAUCGUAUCUCCACAGCAUCUGCACUAUCGUAUCUGCUCAGCUCAAAAACCAAAAGUGAAGAGUCAAGCAAAAGAUACUGGAACCAGCUUCACUGAGAUGUCUACAAGGCAGUAGCAAUGGCAACAGCUGGCAACCAGAUUUGCUCAUUGGGAUUGUCAGGAGUUCCAUCCUCCUUUCGAGCAUCCAGAAAUACUCUCUUGCAGGCCUGCAUCCCACUCUCUCUCUCUGCUGAUGUUGGUAACUCACCAGGAUCACUCAAGAGAGAACAACAGCCCAGCGAUCUGUGAAAGGCAUAAUCUAACUGACUGCAAAAUGGAAGUGCUAAAGACAAGAGCAGCCUAAAAUAGCAGUCUGAGGAUGGGCAGCAGGCAUCUGCCUGCCAAAAGCAAAGCACCUCGCAGGGUAAAGUUCCCCGGCUACUGGGCCAGGAGAGUGAUGGCCACUCCAAGCUUUCCUAACACCUCCCUUGGCUCCCUUCUACUUCUCACUAGUUGCAUAUUUUUGUCUUCGCAAAUAAAGCUUCAGCUCUU